This is an RNA transcript of Brassica napus (rape), 2074 nucleotides long. RefSeq lists it as uncharacterized. The record is from RefSeq and is a predicted model, not a curated record. The transcript is spliced from 6 exons. Lineage: Eukaryota; Viridiplantae; Streptophyta; Magnoliopsida; Brassicales; Brassicaceae.
CCCCAAAAAAAAUAUUUUAGUUGUUAUAAUAAUGUAUCAUCUAACCUAUACUAAAAGGAGAAUAAGCUCAAAGCUCAGCCUAUCCACGUCACCUAAGAAAAUUAACCAAUCAUAAGACUCUAUUUUGACACAUCACCUUGGCUAAAAUAGAGUGGAGUUUCGUAUGGGCUUUAUUAUAUUAUCGGUCGACCCAUUUGAGCACAUGCCCAAAAAUCUGUUUCGUCGUCGUCUUCAAGCGUCAAGAGUCUCUCCCCCGACUCUUCCACUUCAUCUUCUCCAAUGUCUGGGUUUUUUUUUCCAUUACCUUCUCAAUCAAUGAGGAUGUUAAAGCUAUUCUCCAACGUUUUGUUCCACCUACCUUUGAUACUUCUCCUAUAUAAAGCUCUACCUCUAACCUAAAUCCAUCCAGAAUCAAAAACCCUACUCUGCAGAAACUAAAUUGCAAUGAAAUCCACAACGAAGUCUCAGCUUACCACCGGCAUAUCUCCCGUCGCCGUCUAUUUCAACGACAUCUCACCAAGACCAGAUGAGUCACAGCUUCGGUUUCAGAAUAAAGUCGGCCAGGUAUGUGAUACUUAGCCACCUUGAGCACGUACACAUAUGUGUCUCACAAUGGAGAGAAAGUUGCUGUGAAAAUACAAAGAUCUGGACUAAAGUUUUCGAUAUAGAUCUAUGAAAUUUGAUGUUGCUUGAUGAAUAUUUCUGGAAAAGUGAUCCAUUUGCCCCAAACGCCCCGGAUGGUAUUUACGAAAAAUGUGCCAUGUAAGUCUUUUUAACAUAAAGUAGUUAUAACUCUGGCUCUAAAACAUGUGGCGCUGAUAUAUCAAGAGUAAUGCUAAAGUGUCAAACUUAUAAUGGUUUCAAACUUAUUUUAUGGUUUGGCUGUUUUAGAUACUCCAAACCGCCUACUUUCAUGAUGUUUAAGUCAAUUUCAAUAAUCUUGAUAAUCAAGACAAAGCUUAACCACUGCUUGAAAAAAUAUUUACAAUCCAUUAUUUGUUCAAUUAGAUAUUUAAUCAUAAAUAAGAGACUAAAUCAUGUUAUUAUGUAUACACUAUAUAUUGUUCUCUGUUUGUAGCUUGCAGAUAACCAAAGUUAUGAGUCAUGAAACUUUUUUAAAGGACAGGUGGUGCGCUCUGGGAAUCACAGCAAGGAUCCUCAGUACCACAGUCUGGAUCACUUCUUUGACAGGUUCUAACAUGAUCAUGCCACUUUGGUUACACAUUGGGUCUUUUGAUUUUGAAAGUAUUUGAAUUUAUAUUAGUUCUGUGUUUUGAUAUAAGCCAGCCUCUAAAUGUAGACCCCAAAAACAUUUCUGAUAGUUUACAGCGUCUACAUUUAGAUCCGACAUGGGUUGUUGGUUCGAUGAGGCUAAAUAGUUAUAUUUACAUGAAGUUCAUGGUCGGCUUCAGUGCAAAUGCAAAGGCAGCGAAUGUAUAUAAGAAGAAAGCUGAAAGUCCUACGAAAACAUGGAUACAACAUGGUAUAGUUACUGCUCUGUUUUGAGAGAGUGGAAGCUGUAAAUCAUCAGUAACUGUGGCAGAGGUUUAACGAUCCCAAUCAGGACAGACACUCUUCGCAGAGUUGAUAUUAAAGCCAUCAGUUGAAAAGGGUAAGGCAGCAAAGCAGGCUGGUAAGCCAAAAAUAAGUUUUGUACAGUGUAAAUAAACAGAGCAAACAUUGCUAACGGAAAAGGAGGAGAAGCCAGUGAAACCAGUAUCAUCUAUGUAACUGAGCUACCUAACGCUCAUGGCUUCAUUAGUGGACUGCAACAGGCCUAUGAUACAAUGGUGGGUGAAAGAGGACUUCAGUUAUCAGGCAGAAAAUAGUAGAGAGUGGUAGCCAUAGCAAUUUUUAAAGAUCCUAUGGUGUGGGCCGUGUGGUUUAGGGAUGAAGCAACAAUUACUGUUGAUAUUUAGUCAGAGUCUGGGGUUCAUGAGUUAAUUGCAUAGGUUAGAAAGAAAAGCAAGCCACUGAUCCCAAUAUAUGAGGGUCUCUAUGUUUCUUUAGUACAACUUCAUUUGACUGCUUCUGCGAAAACAUUUUUUAAGGGAUUACCUACCAUUUGAGCAAA